This 500-nucleotide ribosomal RNA is filed under the name uncultured bacterium. RNAcentral describes it as "partial 16S ribosomal RNA". It matches the Rfam family "Bacterial small subunit ribosomal RNA", at positions 30 to 523 of the family's 1533-position model. The record is from RNAcentral.
AUUGAACGCUGGCGGCAUGCCUUACACAUGCAAGUCGAACGGCAGCACGGGAGCAAUCCUGGUGGCGAGUGGCGAACGGGUGAGUAAAGUAUCGGAACGUGCCCAGUCGUGGGGGAUAACGUAGCGAAAGUUACGCUAAUACCGCAUACGAUCUAUGGAUGAAAGCGGGGGAUCGCAAGACCUCGCGCGAUUGGAGCGGCCGAUAUCAGAUGAGGUAGUUGGUGGGGUAAAGGCUCACCAGGCCGACGAUCUGUAGCUGGUCUGAGAGGACGACCAGCCACACUGGGACUGAGACACGGCCCAGACUCCUACGGGAGGCAGCAGUGGGGAAUUUUGGACAAUGGGCGAAAGCCUGAUCCAGCCAUGCCGCGUGCAGGAUGAAGGCCUUCGGGUUGUAAACUGCUUUUGUACGGAACGAAAAGGUUUGGGCUAAUAAGCUGAGCUCUUGGCGGUACCGUAAGAAUAAGCACCGGCUAACUACGUGCCAGCCGCCGCCGUAA